RNAcentral lists this ribosomal RNA (396 nucleotides) under uncultured bacterium. Its description in RNAcentral is "partial 16S ribosomal RNA". It matches the Rfam family "Bacterial small subunit ribosomal RNA", at positions 523 to 918 of the family's 1533-position model. The record is from RNAcentral.
CUACAGAGGGUGCAAGCGUUAAUCGGAUUUACUGGGCGUAAAGCGCGCGUAGGUGGCUAAUUAAGUCAAAUGUGAAAUCCCCGAGCUUAACUUGGGAAUUGCAUUCGAUACUGGUUAGCUAGAGUAUGGGAGAGGAUGGUAGAAUUCCAGGUGUAGCGGUGAAAUGCGGAGAGAUCUGGAGGAAUACCGAUGGCGAAGGCAGCCAUCUGGCCUAAUACCGACCAUGAGGUUCGAAAGCAUGGGGAGCAAACAGGAUUAGAUACCCUGGUAGUCCAUGCCGUAAACGAUGUCUACUAGCCGUUGGGGCCCUUGAGGCUUUAGUGGCGCAGCUAACGCGAUAAGUAGACCGCCUGGGGAGUACGGUCGCAAGACUAAAACUCAAAUGAAUUGACGGGG